GAUGAAGAACGUAGUGAAAUGCGAUAAUUAAUGUGAAUUGCAGAAUUUAGUGAAUCAUCGAAUCUUUGAACGCACAUUGCGCCCCUUGGUAUUCCGGGGGGCAUGCCUGUUCGAGCGUCAUUUCAACCCUCAAGCUCUGCUUGGUCUUGGGCCGCGCCGGCAACUGCGGGCCACAAAAACAGUGGCGGCGCCAUCUGGUCCCUCAGCGUAGUAAUUCUUCUCGCUGCUGGGCCCCGGUGGCCGCUUGCCAGCAACCCCAAACUUUCUAUGGUUGACCUCGGAUCAGGUAGGGAUACCCGCUGAACUUAAGCAUAUCAAUAAGCGGAGGA
This 329-nucleotide unclassified non-coding RNA is filed under the name soil metagenome. RNAcentral's name for it is "partial contains 5.8S ribosomal RNA, internal transcribed spacer 2, and large subunit ribosomal RNA". The stretch from base 1 to 120 matches the Rfam family "5.8S ribosomal RNA", at positions 35 to 154 of the family's 154-position model. The record is from RNAcentral.